AAAUUGAAGAGUUUGAUCAUGGCUCAGAUUGAACGCUGGCGGCAGGCCUAACACAUGCAAGUCGAACGGUAACAGGAAGCAGCUUGCUGCUUCGCUGACGAGUGGCGGACGGGUGAGUAAUGUCUGGGAAACUGCCUGAUGGAGGGGGAUAACUACUGGAAACGGUAGCUAAUACCGCAUAACGUCGAAAGACCAAAGAGGGGGACCUUCGGGCCUCUUGCCAUCGGAUGUGCCCAGAUGGGAUUAGCUUGUUGGUGGGGUAAUGGCUCACCAAGGCGA
RNAcentral lists this ribosomal RNA (279 nucleotides) under Escherichia coli. RNAcentral's name for it is "partial 16S ribosomal RNA". It matches the Rfam family "Bacterial small subunit ribosomal RNA", at positions 1 to 276 of the family's 1533-position model. The record is from RNAcentral. Lineage: Bacteria; Pseudomonadati; Pseudomonadota; Gammaproteobacteria; Enterobacterales; Enterobacteriaceae.